Pistacia vera is the source of this 100-nucleotide long non-coding RNA. RefSeq lists it as uncharacterized. The transcript has 3 exons. NCBI's taxonomy places the organism in Eukaryota, Viridiplantae, Streptophyta, Magnoliopsida, Sapindales, Anacardiaceae. The record is from RefSeq and is a predicted model, not a curated record.
GGCAAGAGAAUGGGUGCGAACAUGCCAAAGCAGUAUCUACCACUCUUGGGCCAACCUAUUGCAUUGUAUAGUUUCUAUACUUUCUCACACAUGCCCGAAG